Suricata suricatta (meerkat) is the source of this 1100-nucleotide long non-coding RNA. RefSeq lists it as uncharacterized. The transcript is spliced from 3 exons. The record is from RefSeq and is a predicted model, not a curated record. Lineage: Eukaryota; Metazoa; Chordata; Mammalia; Carnivora; Herpestidae.
GCCUCGAGGUCCGCGGAGGGUGGGACGGGGAGAAAGUAGCUCCUGUUCGCGUCUGAGUCCCUGAAGAGCAAAGUUUGGUGUGGCUGUAUCACGUCCCAAACCUAAGCAGGUAGUGUAGUUUUAAUUUUCAAGACAGCCAGUGCCCCCGGUUUAUUUUUAGAAGCACCUGCACACAGAAGAUACAGCCGAGAACCAGAGACCUUCAGAGAUUGCGGGGAAAGGGUGGCCCCGAGGAAAGCACCUGAGAAAAAGACGCCUGGAUUAUCAAAGACCCGGGCGGGGACAGUGCAAGCUGUGAGCAACCUUGCAAAGGAGAGGUGGCCAGAGGGUGGAGUGUGAACAAGAUCCAUCCUGCACCUGAAAUUAAGAUUGCAUAUUAAGUUCUCAAGGAAGUUGUUUACUCUGAGUAACUACUGAGUAGAAGAUGUUGGAAAAUGACCAUCCUUCGCCUAUACAAAUAGUCUUCCAGUUGUCUAAUUUUUAAUUAAAACAUCAGUGACCUGUGCGUAUCACUUAAAUUACUCCCAUAUGAGCGCUUAUCAUUGGAUUCUUCUAGCUAGACCUUACCAUAAGGCUCUAUUAUCUUGAGAAUUAAACUCCUGAUUAUAAGUGUUAUACCAUUCCUGCUUUUGCCUGUUUAAGGAACUUGCUAGAGACCCAGACUCCAGGCUUUCUUCAACUUGUCCACAUUUGGAGAAUUGUUUGGCCUCUUUAAUCCAAACAUGAGAAUAAUUAGUCCAGGAUUCAGAGAAGCAGACCUAAUAAACUAUCCCAAAUAGGAAUCAGCUCUACUUUCUUUCUCUGCCUUUUUAAUGGGGGGGAAAGCCAAAUUCUCAGCAUGAGAACCUGUAAUGGCUUCACUGUUUUGUUCACUAGGAUUAUCAUCUGUGCAGAUAACUUAGCAUUGGCAUCACUAACAGACUUCUUUCAAAGGGAAAAGACAUUUCAGUAGGACUGAAACUGUCUUUAAGGUUUCAUUUGUUCCAUUUUGGCAGGGCCAAGCUAGCUAAUCCUUUUGAAAAUGGAUUGAUUUUCAUGUAAGGGCCUGAUUUGCCAUAUGGGUUACAGCAUAAAUAAAAGGGCUUCUGCAAUUAACUGCC